This 253-nucleotide ribosomal RNA is filed under the name uncultured bacterium. RNAcentral's name for it is "partial 16S ribosomal RNA". It matches the Rfam family "Bacterial small subunit ribosomal RNA", at positions 524 to 776 of the family's 1533-position model. The record is from RNAcentral.
GACGUAGGGUGCGAGCGUUGUCCGGAUUUAUUGGGCGUAAAGAGCUCGUAGGCGGCUCGUCGCGUCGUCCGUGAAAACCCGGGGCUCAACUCCGGGCUUGCAUUCGAUACGGGCAGGCUAGAGUUCGGUAGGGGAGUCUGGAAUUCCUGGUGUAGCGGUGAAAUGCGCAGAUAUCAGGAGGAACACCGGUGGCGAAGGCGGGACUCUGGGCCGAUACUGACGCUGAGGAGCGAAAGCGUGGGGAGCGAACAGG